ACGUCAAGGAACAUCUGCACUAAAAUUGUCGUGAUACAAAGAAUAUUAGAAUGGUCCCUGCCUAAGGAUGACAUGCAAAUUUGUUAUGCAUUUUCUAUAUUC
Molecule: small nuclear RNA, 102 nt
Filed under: Carlito syrichta (Philippine tarsier)
Lineage: Eukaryota; Metazoa; Chordata; Mammalia; Primates; Tarsiidae
Source: RNAcentral